RNA transcript from Hevea brasiliensis (rubber tree), 996 nucleotides. RefSeq lists it as uncharacterized. The record is from RefSeq and is a predicted model, not a curated record. The transcript is spliced from 5 exons. Lineage: Eukaryota; Viridiplantae; Streptophyta; Magnoliopsida; Malpighiales; Euphorbiaceae.
GGUUUGAUUUUGGGCUCUAACCGGACGGUGGCCGGGUCUGAAUCUUAAUAGAAGUAGAAGAGACGCACGCUAGCCAAGUGAAAAGAAAUGGGAAAAACAUUCACUCUCAUUCAAACAGUUGCCACUGCAGGAUUAUUCUCUGCUGUUUCCUUUUGGUAUGGUUUUAUGUUCGGAAGAGAAUCAGCUCGCAAGGAGCUCGGUGACUUGAUUGAAGAUCUUCGCCGUGGAAAUUCCUCUUCAACUCCUCCUCCAAAUUCCUAAUUGGUGUUGGCUGAUAUGCGAAGAUGUCGGAAAUGACUAUUCAUAAUUGGUCUAGAUGAUUGGAUGCCUAAACUACAUCAACAAAUUGAAAGAACCUGUAGUUUCCUUGUAUGAUGAUUGAGAAAUCAAUGACUGUCAUGUUUGCUCAUGCCCGGUGUUGGUUUUGGAGUCACACUCUGCUAGUCGUAUGUUUUGGCCACCUUCUGACAUGCUUUUUACAAACUCCACAAGGUGUUGCCAAUUAUCCCCUUCAAACAACUUCUUAUUCAUUCUUAGAUAUGUAAAUGCUACCAAUCCAUUGCCAGAUUCUGAUCUACUUGUUGACAAAACUUGUGCAUAUGCACCUGCAUCAUACCUCUCCAAUGCAUUCUCUCCAGCCAGUUCAAUUCCAGCAGUCCUUGUGACCAUCUUCACUUGCCGCACUAAUCCUUCUGCCGAGCAAUUUGCACUUUCAGGUUGUUCUUGAUCUCGCAUUUCCAUGCAGGAAACCUCCAUGUUCCAUUGCUUUCUGGAUAUGCUGGGUAUCGUAGCUCUCCGCAAGGUCCCAUCCCCACUUGAAUUUCCUGCAAUAGAGAUUGAAUCAAUGUUUUAAGCUUCAAGAAAUAAUACAUUCUUUAAUGUCAGUCAUAUGUGAGGAAGACAUAUUGUGGGCUUGUGCUUUGGGUGCGUCUGUUGUAAUAUCCUUUCUUUUGUAAUGGUAUUUCUUUCUUAUAAAAGAAAUUGUUGACAGACUUA